CCCACUUGCAGACCGAAGGCUGCAGCCACGGAUGCUAGGGAACCUUGCCCUUCCCGGGACCGGCGCCCACACGGACAGAGCUUGGCGGCGGGGCCGGGGCACCCACACUUCCGCCCGGCAGGUGGCGCCGCUCUGGCGCGGACCCCGGGAGACCGAGCCCGACCGGUAAGAUGGCGCCGCCCAUGCCGCUGCGUCCUUUCUCCCGGCUGCUGGCCCCCGCCAGGCUCCCGAGCGCCGCUUCAGGGCGGUCGAAGUUCUACGUGCGGGAUCCGCCGAACGACAAACCCAACUGGCUGAAGGUUGGGUUGGCCUUCGGCACCUCCGGCUUCUUGUGGUUCCAUCUCAUCAAACAACAUAAUGAAGAUAUUUUAGAGUAUAAAAGAAGAAAUGGGUUGGAAUAAACUUUUGAAAUAGUAAUACACAUCUCUCCGCCGGAUGUCAUCUAGCAAAUUCCCUGGACCAUCUGGAUCAAAUAUGAUUUACUAUCUGGUUGUAGGGGUCACGGUCAGUGCUGGUGGAUAUUAUGCUUAUAAGACGGUCACGUCAGAGCAAGCCAAACACACGGAGCAUAUAACAAAUCUGAAAGAAAAAACAAAAGCGGAGUUGCCUCCUCUUCAAGGU
Molecule: RNA transcript, 621 nt
Organism: Carlito syrichta (Philippine tarsier)
Lineage: Eukaryota; Metazoa; Chordata; Mammalia; Primates; Tarsiidae
Gene: NDUFC1
Gene name: NADH:ubiquinone oxidoreductase subunit C1
Exons: 5
Source: RefSeq, a predicted model, not a curated record